Molecule: ribosomal RNA, 456 nt
Filed under: unidentified nematode Sourhope farm
Lineage: Eukaryota; Metazoa; Nematoda
Description: SSU rRNA
Rfam family: Eukaryotic small subunit ribosomal RNA
Source: RNAcentral
AUACGGUGAAACCGCGAAUGGCUCAUUACAACAGCCACUGUUUACUUGAUCUUGAUUAUCCUACUUGGAUAACUGUGGUAAUUCUAGAGCUAAUACAUGCAACCAAGCUCCGACCGUAAGGGACGAGCGCAUUUAUUAGAACAAAACCAAUCGGGCUUCGGCCUGAGGUUUGGUGAAUCUGAAUAACUGAGCUGAUCGCAUGGUCUUUGUACCGGCGACGCAUCUUUCAAGUGUCUGCCUUAUCAACUUUCGAUGGUAGUUUAUGUGCCUACCAUGGUUGUAACGGGUAACGGAGAAUAAGGGUUCGACUCCGGAGAGGGAGCCUGAGAAACGGCUACCACAUCCAAGGAAGGCAGCAGGCGCGCAAAUUACCCACUCUCGGCACGAGGAGGUAGUGACGAAAAAUAACGAGGCGGUUCUCUAAGAGGCCCGCUAUCGGAAUGGGUACAAUUUAAA